GACGAACGCUGGCGGCGUGCUUAACACAUGCAAGUCGAACGGUAAGGCCCUUCGGGGUACACGAGUGGCGAACGGGUGAGUAACACGUGGGUGAUCUGCCCUGCACUUCGGGAUAAGCCUGGGAAACUAGGUCUAAUACCGGAUAGGACCCUGGGAUGCAUGUCCUGGGGUGGAAAGCUUUUGCGGUGUGGGAUGGGCCCGGGGCGCAUUAGCUAGUUGGUGAGGUAACGGCUCACCAAGGCGACGAUGCGUAGCCGACCUGAGAGGGUGAUCGGCCACAUUGGGACUGAGACACGGCCCAGACUCCUACGGGAGGCAGCGGUGGGGAAUAUUGCACAAUGGGGGAAACCCUGAUGCAGCAAUGCCGCGUGAGUGAUGACGGCCUUCGGGUUGUAAGCCUCUUUCAGCACCGACGAAGCGCAAGUGACGGUAGGUGCAGAAGAAGGACCGGCCAACUACGUGCCAGCCGCCGCCGUAA
RNAcentral lists this ribosomal RNA (478 nucleotides) under uncultured bacterium. RNAcentral describes it as "partial 16S ribosomal RNA". It matches the Rfam family "Bacterial small subunit ribosomal RNA", at positions 28 to 523 of the family's 1533-position model. The record is from RNAcentral.